UCUGCGUCAGGGUCCGUCUCGAAGCUGC
Molecule: non-coding RNA, 28 nt
Filed under: Rattus norvegicus (Norway rat)
Lineage: Eukaryota; Metazoa; Chordata; Mammalia; Rodentia; Muridae
Source: RNAcentral